RNAcentral lists this small nucleolar RNA (86 nucleotides) under Pyricularia oryzae 70-15. RNAcentral's name for it is "Magnaporthe oryzae 70-15 Small nucleolar RNA snR73". It matches the Rfam family "Small nucleolar RNA snR73". The record is from Rfam by way of RNAcentral. Lineage: Eukaryota; Fungi; Ascomycota; Sordariomycetes; Magnaporthales; Pyriculariaceae.
UUACAUGAUGAUUUAAAUUUUAUCACGACGGUCUACAUAGCCAAUGGCUUUGAUGAGACUGCCCUUGACAAGGCACGAAUCUGAUA